Molecule: ribosomal RNA, 253 nt
Filed under: uncultured bacterium
Lineage: Bacteria
Description: partial 16S ribosomal RNA
Rfam family: Bacterial small subunit ribosomal RNA
Source: RNAcentral
UACGUAGGUGGCGAGCGUUGUCCGGAUUUACUGGGCGUAAAGAGCGCGCAGGCGGUCGUACAAGUCGCGUGUGAAAGCCCCCGGCUCAACUGGGGAGGGUCACGCGAUACUGUUCGACUCGAAGGCAGGAGAGGGAAGUGGAAUUCCCGGUGUAGUGGUGAAAUGCGUAGAUAUUGGGAGGAACACCAGUGGCGAAGGCGGCUCACUGGACCGGAACUGACGCUGAGGCGCGAAAGCGUGGGGAGCAAACGGG